UGGAGGUGCCGGGGAUUGAACCCGGGGCCUCGUACAUGCGAAGCACGCGCUCUACCACUGAGCUACACCCCC
RNAcentral lists this transfer RNA (72 nucleotides) under Eschrichtius robustus (grey whale). RNAcentral describes it as "tRNA-Ala". Lineage: Eukaryota; Metazoa; Chordata; Mammalia; Artiodactyla; Eschrichtiidae. The record is from RNAcentral.